UUGCCCUAGUACGGCGAGUGAAGCGGCAACAGCUCAAAUUUGAAGCUAGCCUUCGGGUUCGCAUUGUAAUUUGUAGAGGAUGAUUUGGGGAAGCCGCCUGUCUAAGUUCCUUGGAACAGGACGUCAUAGAGGGUGAGAAUCCCGUAUGUGACAGGAAAUGGCACCCUAUGUAAAUCUCCUUCGACGAGUCGAGUUGUUGGGAAUGCAGCUCUAAAUGGGAGGUAAAUUUCUUCUAAAGCUAAAUAUUGGCGAGAGACCGAUAGCGCACAAGUAGAGUGAUCGAAAGAUGAAAAGCACUUUGGAAAGAGAGUUAAAAAGCACGUGAAAUUGUUGAAAGGGAAGCGCUUGCAAUCAGACUUGUUUAAACUGUUCGGCCGGUCUUCUGACCGGUUUACUCAGUUUGGACAGGCCAGCAUCAGUUUCGGCGGCCGGAUAAAGGCUCUGGGAAUGUGGCCUCC
Molecule: ribosomal RNA, 458 nt
Filed under: Aureobasidium pullulans
Lineage: Eukaryota; Fungi; Ascomycota; Dothideomycetes; Dothideales; Saccotheciaceae
Description: eukaryotic LSU rRNA
Rfam family: Eukaryotic large subunit ribosomal RNA
Source: RNAcentral